UGUACUACAAGCAUAUGAAUCCGUUUCUGUUUUCAUUCAGAGGUGAAUGGGCAAGAGAGUGCGGCUGUUGCUGCUAGUGCUACUGCAUCUUGCGUUUGGUUUGCUUGUUGUGGUUGCUACGGCAGCCGGCCUUGGGGUGUAUGUGGCUUGCGAUUGAAGCGGCUUGGUGCCUUGGUGAUUUGGUGUGGAUUUAUGUGUGGCUUGAUGUGUGCUUGCUAUUAUGUGUUUAGGUUUGUAAUUUAGCAGCAGCGUGUGUAUGCCUGCGUGCAUCUCAUGGCUAGUUGCACGUGAGUGUGACCUCACAAUUAACUCACAAGUGUUUGCCAUCUAUCUGAACCAAGAUGCAGCUCAGCUGGUUGUGUGUCCUUUCAUGCAUGCAUCGACCUAGCUGCUUGUGUGAUUUUUUUUGUAAUGCUUUUGAGAAAAAAAAACAGAAAAAAGGCAGCAGCAAUGUGUGCCAGUUAUUUUUAUUCCCAAGUUUUGGAAUAGAGGCUAAAAUUCUGUAUUGACAGUACUGACCACAGACAAAUAUUUACAGUUUACAAAUCUUACUGACAACGAAUCGAAGCAAGUGCUAUUUCAGUUCUCAUUGGUGCUUGUAAAAUUAACCAAAACUGAGCAAAUUUAGCAACAUGAUAUGAUCAACCUCUCACGCAUGUUGCUGCAAACGAAGUCCAGGUUUGGCCCAGAAAUCAGCUUCUGCCGAGCUGUGCCCGAAUUGUUGUGAACUUGGGCGCUGCAUUGAUGUUGGAGUUUCAAAAUUCUGGGCCUAGUGGGCCUGUAGUAGGCUGAGAGAUGACAUGACCACGUUUCUGUCCAGCGUGAAGCGUUUUUGCGAUUGUAUUUGGAGCCGCUCCCCGGUUCCCACUCAGGUGUCAAAUUUUGAUUCCAGUCUGAAUUUAUAAGGUUAAUUUUUCUCCGAGUUCAAAAUUUGAUCGUGAAUUCUUUCUUCAAUAUAUUGUUAAUAUGUACAAAAUCGCAAUCUGCUUUUAAUUCACAAGAUACAAUUUUGGUUCUGUUCCGUUAUCACAGCCAAGAGAUUUGGGUUGGGCACUCAAAUUGCGCCUGGUAUAUAUAUUUGAGACUGGUCAUUGUUGGAGGUAGGGACACUACCGGAUUCCCAAGC
This 1126-nucleotide long non-coding RNA is filed under the name Brachypodium distachyon (stiff brome). RNAcentral's name for it is "long non-coding RNA (BDIS_LNC001542)". Lineage: Eukaryota; Viridiplantae; Streptophyta; Magnoliopsida; Poales; Poaceae. The record is from RNAcentral.